Molecule: transfer RNA, 85 nt
Filed under: Bacteroidales bacterium
Lineage: Bacteria; Pseudomonadati; Bacteroidota; Bacteroidia; Bacteroidales
Also listed under: 1 other name
Description: tRNA-Ser
Rfam family: tRNA
About the family: Transfer RNA (tRNA) molecules are approximately 80 nucleotides in length. Their secondary structure includes four short double-helical elements and three loops (D, anti-codon, and T loops).
Source: RNAcentral
GGAAAGCUGGCAGAGUGGUCGAAUGCAACGGUUUCGAAAGCCGUCGAUCUUCACGGAUCCGGGGGUUCGAAUCCCUCGCUUUCCG